This 108-nucleotide ribosomal RNA is filed under the name Octodon degus (degu). The record is from RNAcentral. Lineage: Eukaryota; Metazoa; Chordata; Mammalia; Rodentia; Octodontidae.
GUCUAUGGCCAUACCACCCUGAAUGCGCCCGAUCUCGACUGAUCUCGGAAGCUAAGCAGGGUCAGGCCUGGUUAGUACUUGGGUGGGAGAAACAGUGUGCCUUCUAAU